Macaca mulatta (Rhesus monkey) is the source of this 1174-nucleotide non-coding RNA. The record is from RefSeq and is a predicted model, not a curated record. Lineage: Eukaryota; Metazoa; Chordata; Mammalia; Primates; Cercopithecidae.
CACAUUCUAUAAUGGAUUUCAGUCUUUUGUACAGAAAUGCAUGGUGUGCCUCAAAAGAAAGGUAAUCACUGAGGCAGAGAAAGGAGAAAUACAGACAAGAGAAAGGUAAAGCUAAAAAUGAAUGAGCACAUGUAACUCACCUCACACCUCCUGGACAAGGGCUAGUGGUGGACACAUACACCUUGUGGCUGAUAAGCCCUCCCAAGAGUGACCAGCAAUAUUCUUGGUGUUUGAUGACUGCGGAGACAUAGGAGACAUCACAAUGGGGCAAAUGUUCUAGUGGCUGUACCCCUGCCAAGGGGCAACAAUGUAUCCAGACCACAAGUCAAGCAGGAGCAGGGAUUUGCUCUGACUGGCCUUCUGUGUGAGAGCUGGCCCCUAGUUUCUCCUUUUGAAGGAGAGCAAGCAGCCGGGCACCCUGGAUAAGCCCUGUGUUGUUCAGCUCUGACUUCAUCUGCAGUGUGGAUCCAUAUCAAACAGGGGGGACCUCACGGCUGCUUUCACACAGGCAGUAACUCAGCAGGAAAUGAGAAUCAGAAACAGAAGGACAAGUGCUUGCCUUUGAUGAGUUUGACACAGGGGAUCACCCGGUGUUUCUGAAACUAGACCACUGUAGUGAACGUCAAGGUCAGGAACAAAAGGAAUCCAGGAGAAACGCAAGCCAUCAGCUAGUGAGAGGCACAUCUGAGAUGAGAAGGGCCUAGCUCUGGAUGACUUCGGAGAGGGACUCAGCUAAAUCCACAAGAAGUCCCUGUGCACUGGAGUCCUGAUCCACGAGUCUAGGGUUUAACGGAAUGCUGAUGGGAGCAAGGAGGACCCAAGGAACGACAUGGGAAAGUAUCAGAUCCACCUGCAGCAGCCGAUGGUUACAACCAAAUUCUCAUCAGUGCGUGACAGAAGAUAUUCUCCCAUAGUGUUUGAUAUCCAAUGCUACAGAGCAAAGUGGGGGCUUAUGUCUAUGCCACUUCACUGACGGCAAAGUGGCCAUUGGGACAAAGUAGUGGUGGAAUAUUUCAAAAGCAAACUCAAGGAAAAGCUACAGUUUCAAGCAAAGAUUCUUGGCUGGUCCCUGACUUGAGUUCCUUCUCCCUAGGAAGACUGGAAUCUAAUUUCUGGAAGAUUGGCAUGGAAAGGAGGCAGGAAUUGUUAAAAAAAAAAAAAAAAAAAAAAACGG